AGCACCCAGGGUGGGGGCCCCGCGCAAAGGGAACAGCAGUCGGGCUUCCCGACGCCUCCCCGUGACCCCUCCGCGCCGAGGAGGAGGGUGCGCCUUUCUGAAGGGCACUUGGUGUCACUCUCUCCUCGGAAGACCCUACCAGCAAAACCCCGGUGCAGCGGAGACAAGACACAGAGAGGGAGCUCCCGCGGCGGCACCCCCGCAAGGACAGCGGCGUCCCGCGUGUGACGGGCCCGGGCUCAGCACUUACCUCCGGACGGCACUCCGACACCAGCGCCGGGCCAGCCUCCCCGCCACGCCCGCCAUAGCGAUCCCGGGGGCGUGGAGGAAUUCGAUAUUGCAAGAUGAUGUUUGGGAGGCUGAGCUGAGUCAAAGACCCUGACCCCGCUCCCAGGCUGAGUUAGGUGGCCCUCGGAGGUUGAAAGGGGGUCCAGGAGCUGAUGCAUGCCUCUACCAGGCAGAUGGUGACGUAGAUACUGGGCCCUUCCUGAAAUCCAUAACAGGCCAGUGUACCAGGUAAAUGGUGACGCAGAUACCGGUCCCGCCCUGGAAUUCCUAACAGGUCAGCUACCAGACAGAUGACGACACCUGGAAACCGUGACGACCCCCCGAGGCGGGAACUCCCACAGCUCAUGCUCCCCCGCCCUCACUGAACAGCUGUAUAAAAAAAGCGCCCUCCUCCCUGUUGGUGUGGAUCCACGUGCCCUGUCUUUGGGGUUCGUGGGUCGCCCGGGACGCAGAA
Molecule: long non-coding RNA, 742 nt
Organism: Myotis myotis
Lineage: Eukaryota; Metazoa; Chordata; Mammalia; Chiroptera; Vespertilionidae
Exons: 3
Source: RefSeq, a predicted model, not a curated record